Molecule: transfer RNA, 64 nt
Filed under: Phymata americana
Lineage: Eukaryota; Metazoa; Arthropoda; Insecta; Hemiptera; Phymatidae
Description: tRNA-Glu
Rfam family: tRNA
About the family: Transfer RNA (tRNA) molecules are approximately 80 nucleotides in length. Their secondary structure includes four short double-helical elements and three loops (D, anti-codon, and T loops). Further hydrogen bonds mediate the characteristic L-shaped molecular structure. tRNAs have two regions of fundamental functional importance: the anti-codon, which is responsible for specific mRNA codon recognition, and the 3' end, to which the tRNAs corresponding amino acid is attached (by aminoacyl-tRNA synthetases). tRNAs cope with the degeneracy of the genetic code in two manners: having more than one tRNA (with a specific anti-codon) for a particular amino acid; and 'wobble' base-pairing, i.e. permitting non-standard base-pairing at the 3rd anti-codon position.
Source: RNAcentral
AUUCAUGUAGUUUAGUAAAAACAUUUCAUUUUCAAUGAAAAAAAGAAAUUUAUUUCCUUGAAUA